This 36-nucleotide small RNA is filed under the name Propionibacterium ruminifibrarum. RNAcentral describes it as "Propionibacterium sp. JV5 CRISPR_Spacer". Lineage: Bacteria; Bacillati; Actinomycetota; Actinomycetes; Propionibacteriales; Propionibacteriaceae. The record is from RNAcentral.
GGUCAUCAUAGCUAAGGGAUAUGAAACUGAACUCGU